GUAAUACAUGGGAAUCUGCCUGGUAGUGGGGGACAACGUUUCGAAAGGAACGCUAAUACCGCAUACGCCCUACGGGGGAAAGGGGGGGAUCUUCGGACCUCUCGCUAUCAGAUGAGCCCAUGUCGGAUUAGCUUGUUGGUGGGGUAAAGGCUCACCAAGGCGACGAUCCGUAACUGGUCUGAGAGGAUGAUCAGUCACACUGGAACUGAGACACGGUCCAGACUCCUACGGGAGGCAGCAGUGGGGAAUAUUGGACAAUGGGCGCAAGCCUGAUCCAGCCAUGCCGCGUGUGUGAAGAAGGCCUUAGGGUUGUAAAGCACUUUCAGUGGGGAGAAAGGUCAUUCACCUAAUACGUGAGUGAAUUGAUGUACCCACAGAAGAGC
This 383-nucleotide ribosomal RNA is filed under the name uncultured Gammaproteobacteria bacterium. Its description in RNAcentral is "bacterial SSU rRNA". It matches the Rfam family "Bacterial small subunit ribosomal RNA", at positions 110 to 490 of the family's 1533-position model. Lineage: Bacteria; Pseudomonadati; Pseudomonadota; Gammaproteobacteria. The record is from RNAcentral.